Molecule: long non-coding RNA, 848 nt
Organism: Raphanus sativus (radish)
Lineage: Eukaryota; Viridiplantae; Streptophyta; Magnoliopsida; Brassicales; Brassicaceae
Exons: 4
Source: RefSeq, a predicted model, not a curated record
UCGAUCUGCUGCGUCUAACGCUGUGUCUAACGCCGAAGCCUGCGUCUGACGCCGAAAAAUCUCGCGUCCGCGACAUAAAUGAUGCGGCUAGACUGCAUAUCUUCUCUUCUCUUCCUCUUCCAUUCACAGACCACAAGCUCUCUCUUCCAUUCACAGACCACCACCACGAGCUCUCUUCUCCGAUAGAUGCAGGACACAUACCUCGAGCUCUCUCUCUUCUCCGAUUGACGAAGACUUCGAGCUCUCUCUCUCUUCUCUGAUAGACUCAGACCUCGAGCCCUCUCAUCUCUUCGUCCUCGAGCUUAGACCUCUCUUUGAGCUUCGACCAAACCCAUAUCGAGCUUUCUCUUCUCCUCCACAGACGACGCCUCUCGAGCUCCCUCGUCUCCUCCACAGACGCAUCUGGAGCUCUCUCCAUCUUAGACUCAGCUCUCUCUCUCUCAAGCUCACACUGUUUCUUGAGACUGAUUCUCUGUUCUAAAGCUUUGUCUCUCACUCUAUUGUAAGAGCUUUGGGUCUCACUCUAUUAUCCAUCCUUGGUAAGCCAUCCGAGUAUUGGCUCUCUCAUAUCAAACUCUCUCCAAGCUCAGACCCACUCAAGUCUCUCAAGUUCAGACUCUCAAGCUCAGACCCUCUCAAGCUCAGACUGCUGCUCGAGGUCUGUUGUGAUAGUCUAGAUGUUUGAAUUGUCUCAAGUUUGCUCAGACUACCAUUGUUCUUCUCCAGCUUGCUCAGACUAUGUGAUCUUUUUUCAUUAUUCUCUUGUUGUACAAAGAAACUUGUCAUUGUAUUGGAAAAUCUGUAUCAAAGAACAUAAUUUUGUUUCAAAUCUCAUCUAUUUCUUUUUA